RNAcentral lists this ribosomal RNA (193 nucleotides) under Dolichospermum sp. RNAcentral's name for it is "partial 23S ribosomal RNA". It matches the Rfam family "Bacterial large subunit ribosomal RNA", at positions 2734 to 2925 of the family's 2925-position model. Lineage: Bacteria; Bacillati; Cyanobacteriota; Cyanophyceae; Nostocales; Aphanizomenonaceae. The record is from RNAcentral.
GUAAACGCUGGGUAGCCAAGUGCGGAGAGGAUAACCGCUGAAAGCAUCUAAGUGGGAAGCCCACCUCAAGAUGAGUACUCUCACUACAAUUUGUAGGUAAGGUCACGGGCAGAACACCCGUUAAUAGGCUCUAAGUGGAAGUGCAGUAAUGUAUGAAGCUGAGGGGUACUAAUAGACCGAGGGCUUGACCUCU